GAUGAACGCUGGCGGCGUGCCUAACACAUGCAAGUCGAACGGAGUUGUCACCAUGAAGUUUUCGGAUGGAUUGGUAACAACUUAGUGGCGGACGGGUGAGUAACGCGUGGGUAACCUGCCUCAUACUGGGGGAUAACAGCUGGAAACGGCUGCUAAAACCGCAUAAGAUCGCAUCACCGCAUGGUGAAGCGGUUAAAUAUCGAAAGAUAGGUAUGAGAUGGGCCCGCGUCUGAUUAGCUAGUUGGUGAGAUAAGAGCCCACCAAGGCGACGAUCAGUAGCCGGCUUGAGAGAGUGACCGGCCACAUUGGGACUGAGACACGGCCCAAACUCCUACGGGAGGCAGCAGUGGGGAAUAUUGCACAAUGGGGGAAACCCUGAUGCAGCGACGCCGCGUGAGUGAAGAAGUGCUUCGGCAUGUAAAGCUCUAUCAGCAGGGAAGAAGAUGACGGUACCUGACUAAGAAGCCCCGGCUAACUACGUG
This 482-nucleotide ribosomal RNA is filed under the name uncultured bacterium. RNAcentral's name for it is "bacterial SSU rRNA". It matches the Rfam family "Bacterial small subunit ribosomal RNA", at positions 28 to 507 of the family's 1533-position model. The record is from RNAcentral. RNAcentral also lists the same sequence under 1 other name.